Long non-coding RNA from Maniola jurtina (meadow brown), 156 nucleotides. RefSeq lists it as uncharacterized. Lineage: Eukaryota; Metazoa; Arthropoda; Insecta; Lepidoptera; Nymphalidae. The record is from RefSeq and is a predicted model, not a curated record. The transcript is spliced from 2 exons.
AUAACAAAACUGCUUUAUUUACUUUUUUUCAUUUCAAUCACAUUAUACAUAACUACACACAAAUACACUUUUUACUCAAACUUUAAUAAGAUUUUUCUAGAAGAGAUCUUAGGUUGAAAAAAUAGAGAUUCUAUAAUAGAAAUUUUAUAAUCUAUG